This 399-nucleotide ribosomal RNA is filed under the name Agrobacterium tumefaciens. Its description in RNAcentral is "partial 23S ribosomal RNA". It matches the Rfam family "Bacterial large subunit ribosomal RNA", at positions 1436 to 1831 of the family's 2925-position model. The record is from RNAcentral. Lineage: Bacteria; Pseudomonadati; Pseudomonadota; Alphaproteobacteria; Hyphomicrobiales; Rhizobiaceae.
UUCCUGUACCACCUAGUAUCGUUUUAAUCGAUGGGGGGACGCAGUAGGAUAGGCGAAGCGUGCUGUUGGAGUGCACGUCCAAGCAGUAAGGCUGAGUGUUAGGCAAAUCCGGCACUCAUAAGGCUGAGCUGUGAUGGGGAGAGGAAAUUGUUUCCUCGAGUCGUUGAUUUCACACUGCCGAGAAAAGCCUCUAGAUAGAUAACAGGUGCCCGUACCGCAAACCGACACAGGUAGUCAAGAUGAGAAUUCUAAGGUGAGCGAGCGAACUCUCGUUAAGGAACUCGGCAAAAUGACCCCGUAACUUCGGGAGAAGGGGUGCUCUUUAGGGUUCACGCCCAGAAGAGCCGCAGUGAAUAGGCCCAAGCGACUGUUUAUCAAAAACACAGGUCUCUGCUAAAC